AAAAACGGGAAAAUACCGGACAAUUAAGCACAAUUCCCUGAUUAAUUCUAGCACAAUAAACUAAGUGAAGUCGAUAAAAUAUCGAUUCAUCAAAAUAGACCACACUUAGUCUUUUGCACUCCUGGGCAAAACCAAGACGAAAACCAGGGAACAGUCAACGGACAUCAUGGAAUUGACACAGACUCAGCAGACAGACAACAAAGACUAACAGGGAUAGAAACAAACAGACUUACACAAUUCUCAAGAAAUCUGGACAGAGAUAAGAAGUGGACAGUAUCCCACACAAAGUCAAAGAAAACAGAUACUCAGAGAAAUCAUCCAAGCAAUUCCAAGCAUCGCAAAAUAAUCAAUCAGUUCAAGAGGUGAAUCAAAAGCAACAGAACCUCACAAAUGCACACUAUCAGUGUUUCUCUCAAGUGUCUAAGGUAAAUCAAUGUCACUCAAUGCACUCAAGAAAGCAAACACAAAUANACUUGGCAAGCCUCUAAAAUCAACACUCAAAGACAUAUGCAUGUUCAAAUCAAAAGGUCUUUUAUGGGUGAAAUGGGGCCAAGGAAAAGGGAGGAUAUAAUAUGGAUCAAAAGCUACAAACCAAAAGAAAUAGAGGAGCAAUGGGGAACAAGUGUAAACACAGUCAAAUAACACCCAAACCCUCUAAUUCAAUCCUCUUCUUGACUCCAUUGUUCACAAUUUUUUUUUUNN
Molecule: long non-coding RNA, 702 nt
Filed under: Vigna radiata
Lineage: Eukaryota; Viridiplantae; Streptophyta; Magnoliopsida; Fabales; Fabaceae
Description: long non-coding RNA (VRAD_LNC000592)
Source: RNAcentral